Molecule: long non-coding RNA, 297 nt
Filed under: Capsicum annuum
Lineage: Eukaryota; Viridiplantae; Streptophyta; Magnoliopsida; Solanales; Solanaceae
Description: long non-coding RNA (CANN_LNC006108)
Source: RNAcentral
CUCCCAUUCCAUUACAUCCCCCUUUAUAAAAGUGCAACAGAAGUACCCCAAUAUGACAUGCCAAAUUACAUCCCAAAAAUACCAAAUGACAAUUCAUCACAAACGGAAAUCGGGCUCUACGGAGCCCGAUUUCCGUCCAAAAACGGUACGCGUAAACCAGCGCGAAUACCAACGUCAUCAGUAAAAUGGCUAUAACUUGAAAAGAUUGUGAAAAUUCAAGCCAUAAAAAUGACAUACAAAUGAGAAUGGAGUGAUUAAAAAGUUGGAAAAACGACAGAUUACGACGUCGUAAGAUGG